UGUGUAGGCUGUUUAUUAAGUCUAAGAUUAAAGCCCGAGGCUCAACCUCGGUUUGUUUUAGAAACUGGUAGACUUGAGUAUAGUAGAGGCAAGUGGAAUUUCUAGUGUAGCGGUUAAAUGCGUAGAUAUUAGAAGGAACACCGGUGGCGAAGGCGACUUGCUGGGCUAUUACUGACGCUGAGACACGAAAGCGUGGGGAGCAAAUA
RNAcentral lists this ribosomal RNA (206 nucleotides) under uncultured bacterium. RNAcentral describes it as "partial 16S ribosomal RNA". It matches the Rfam family "Bacterial small subunit ribosomal RNA", at positions 568 to 774 of the family's 1533-position model. The record is from RNAcentral.